RNAcentral lists this ribosomal RNA (479 nucleotides) under uncultured bacterium. RNAcentral's name for it is "bacterial SSU rRNA". It matches the Rfam family "Bacterial small subunit ribosomal RNA", at positions 791 to 1268 of the family's 1533-position model. The record is from RNAcentral.
UAGUCCACGCCGUAAACGAUGGAUACUAGCUGUCCGCUGCCUUGAGCAGUGGGCGGCCAAGCGAAAGUGAUAAGUAUCCCACCUGGGGAGUACGUUCGCAAGAAUGAAACUCAAAGGAAUUGACGGGGGGCCCGCACAAGCGGUGGAGCAUGUGGUUUAAUUCGAUGAUACGCGAGGAACCUUACCAGGGCUUAAAUGCAUUACGACAGGUCUAGAGAUAGACUUUCCUUCGGGCGUUUUGCAAGGUGCUGCAUGGUUGUCGUCAGCUCGUGCCGUGAGGUGUCAGGUUAAGUCCUAUAACGAGCGCAACCCCUGCCGUUAGUUGCCAGCAUGUAAAGAUGGGGACUCUAACGGGACUGCCGGUGCAAACCGCGAGGAAGGUGGGGACGACGUCAAGUCAUCAUGGCCCUUACGACCUGGGGCUACACACGUGCUACAAUGGGGCGGUACAAAGGGGCAGCAAACCCGCGAGGGGGAGC